Molecule: ribosomal RNA, 479 nt
Filed under: uncultured bacterium
Lineage: Bacteria
Description: partial 16S ribosomal RNA
Rfam family: Bacterial small subunit ribosomal RNA
Source: RNAcentral
GAUGAACGCUGGCGGCGUGCUUAACACAUGCAAGUCGAGCGAGAAGUUUUGAACAGAUUCUUCGGAUGAAAUUUAAAAUGGAAAGCGGCGGACGGGUGAGUAACGCGUAGGCAACCUGCCCCAUACAAAGGGAUAGCAUUUGGAAACGAAUAUUAAUACCUUAUGAAACUUAACUAGUGCAUGCUAGGUAGGUCAAAGAUUUAUCGGUAUGGGAUGGGCCUGCGUCUGAUUAGCUAGUUGGUGAGGUAACGGCUCACCAAGGCGACGAUCAGUAGCCGACCUGAGAGGGUGAACGGCCACAUUGGAACUGAGACACGGUCCAAACUCCUACGGGAGGCAGCAGUGGGGAAUAUUGCACAAUGGGGGAAACCCUGAUGCAGCAACGCCGCGUGAACGAUGAAGGCCUUUGGGUCGUAAAGUUCUGUUCUAGGUGAUGAAAACUGGCAGUAACCUAGGAGAAAGCCCCGGCUAACUCCGUG